RNAcentral lists this ribosomal RNA (656 nucleotides) under Salmonella enterica subsp. enterica serovar Itami str. SA20014991. RNAcentral describes it as "bacterial LSU rRNA". It matches the Rfam family "Bacterial large subunit ribosomal RNA", at positions 2287 to 2925 of the family's 2925-position model. Lineage: Bacteria; Pseudomonadati; Pseudomonadota; Gammaproteobacteria; Enterobacterales; Enterobacteriaceae. The record is from RNAcentral.
CUCCUAAAGAGUAACGGAGGAGCACGAAGGUUGGCUAAUCCUGGUCGGACAUCAGGAGGUUAGUGCAAUGGCAUAAGCCAGCUUGACUGCGAGCGUGACGGCGCGAGCAGGUGCGAAAGCAGGUCAUAGUGAUCCGGUGGUUCUGAAUGGAAGGGCCAUCGCUCAACGGAUAAAAGGUACUCCGGGGAUAACAGGCUGAUACCGCCCAAGAGUUCAUAUCGACGGCGGUGUUUGGCACCUCGAUGUCGGCUCAUCACAUCCUGGGGCUGAAGUAGGUCCCAAGGGUAUGGCUGUUCGCCAUUUAAAGUGGUACGCGAGCUGGGUUUAGAACGUCGUGAGACAGUUCGGUCCCUAUCUGCCGUGGGCGCUGGAGAACUGAGGGGGGCUGCUCCUAGUACGAGAGGACCGGAGUGGACGCAUCACUGGUGUUCGGGUUGUCAUGCCAAUGGCACUGCCCGGUAGCUAAAUGCGGAAGAGAUAAGUGCUGAAAGCAUCUAAGCACGAAACUUGCCCCGAGAUGAGUUCUCCCUGAGACUUUAGGUCUCCUGAAGGAACGUUGAAGACGACGACGUUGAUAGGCCGGGUGUGUAAGCGCAGCGAUGCGUUGAGCUAACCGGUACUAAUGAACCGUGAGGCUUAACCUUACAACGCCGAAG